AGUGAACGCUGGCGGCGUGCCUAAUACAUGCAAGUCGAACGGAAAUGUUUGGUGUUUGCUCUUUACAAUUGAGUGGCGCACGGGUGAGUAAUAUAUAGCUAACCUGCCCCUUGCUGGAGGAUAACUAUUGGAAUGACUGCUAAUACUCCAUACUCCUUUUUACCAUAUGAUAGUUAUUGAAAAAAUUUCAGUGCUGCACUAUACUAUGGACCAGCAGCUAGUCAGCGGGGUGACGAGGUACCGGCGCUCUAACGCGACAAUGGUCUGACAAGAUGAUCGGUCGCUUUGGAACUGAGACACUGACCCAACUCCUACAGGACGCCGGGAGGCGGAAUAUUGGAAUCUGGGGGAAAGCCUGACACUCCGACCCCGCGUGGACGAUGACACUUUUAAGAUCUUCAGAUCCUUUUGUUCUGUAAUAAUAAUGAAAGUUCCUUACGAAUGAACACCCGACAACUCCAUGCCAACUACCCCGAAAAUACCGAGGGUGCACGCGUUACUCGGAAUCACUGUACGUAAAGGACGCGUAGGCUGAUUAUCUAGUCUCUUGUGAGAUCUCACGGCUCAACCGUUAAACUGCUUGUGAAACUGAUUGUCUUAACUAUUGGAGAGGCUGAUGGAAUUCUUGGUGUAGUGGUAAAAUCGAUAGAUAUCAUCAAUAUUACCUGUUGCGAAGGCGAUAUGCUGGAACUUACCUCAGGCUCAUGCGUGACACCGUGGGGAGCAAACGAGACUAGAUAUCCUGAUAGUGCAGAGGCGACUUCCUUAGUGGAUCUCAAGCUUCUAGGUCCCGUUCACCUCUAGGGGUGGCCCGGUUCCCUGCUUUUGAUCUCUUGGGGGGGGCUGAUUACAAGCUUUGGUUCAUCAUGUUAUAAAAAAUUUCCAGCUGGCGUAAUCAUGGUCAAGCCUGUUUCCAAUG
This 919-nucleotide ribosomal RNA is filed under the name uncultured Fusobacterium sp. RNAcentral's name for it is "bacterial SSU rRNA". The stretch from base 1 to 826 matches the Rfam family "Bacterial small subunit ribosomal RNA". Lineage: Bacteria; Fusobacteriati; Fusobacteriota; Fusobacteriia; Fusobacteriales; Fusobacteriaceae. The record is from RNAcentral.